CCGCACAAGCAGCGGAGCGUGUGGUUUAAUUCGAUGAUACGCGAAGAACCUCACCCAGGUUUGACAUGCAUGUGGUACCAAGGUGAAAGCUGAGGGACCCUUCGGGGAGCAUGCACAGGUGUUGCACGGCCGUCGUCAGCUCGUGCCGUGAGGUGUUCGGGUUAAGUCCCGCAACGAGCGCAACCCCUGUCGCCAGUUGUAUUUUUCUGGCGAGACUGCCGAGAAAACCUCGGAGGAAGGAGGGGACGAUGUCAGGUCAGCGUGGCCCUUACGCCUGGGGCUACACACACGCUACAAUGGGCAGUACAACGGGUCGCGAAGCCGCGAGGUGGAGCUAAUCCCAUCAAAGCUGUCCUCAGUUCGGAUUGCAGGCUGCAACUCGCCUGCAUGAAGCCGGAGUUGCUAGUAACCGCAGGUCAGCACUACUGCGGUGAAUACGUUCCCGGGCCUU
RNAcentral lists this ribosomal RNA (451 nucleotides) under uncultured Chloroflexota bacterium. RNAcentral describes it as "bacterial SSU rRNA". It matches the Rfam family "Bacterial small subunit ribosomal RNA", at positions 921 to 1382 of the family's 1533-position model. The record is from RNAcentral. Lineage: Bacteria; Bacillati; Chloroflexota.